CGAGGCCCAGUUUCCCCGAGGCCUGAGACCCAGGUUCACAGAGGCCCGAGGCCAAGGUUCCCUGAGACCCAGGUUCCCCGAGGCCCGAGGCCCAGGUUCCCCGAGGCCCAAGAUCCAGGUUCCCCGAGGCCCAAACGUUAUCGUCUCAUCUGACUCUGACAAACAGAUUUUCCAGAGAGUUCCUUUAUUGUUGAUGGAUUCAUCCCUGCAGACGGUCUGAAGGUGUCUGUGAUAAAGAACUAACUCAGCAUUGUCAAUUAACUUAUAC
Molecule: long non-coding RNA, 268 nt
Organism: Sebastes umbrosus (honeycomb rockfish)
Lineage: Eukaryota; Metazoa; Chordata; Actinopteri; Perciformes; Sebastidae
Exons: 2
Source: RefSeq, a predicted model, not a curated record